Long non-coding RNA from Talpa occidentalis (Iberian mole), 971 nucleotides. RefSeq lists it as uncharacterized. The transcript is spliced from 3 exons. NCBI's taxonomy places the organism in Eukaryota, Metazoa, Chordata, Mammalia, Eulipotyphla, Talpidae. The record is from RefSeq and is a predicted model, not a curated record.
UCCCCCUGACAGAAGCUCCUGUCUGGGUUGCUGUGGGCUGGUGGGACUGUGGUUUCCAUGAAAGAACUGACUUCAUAAUGGAUUAAAGCAAUGCUGGAGAAGCUGCAGCCCUAGCAAGUCAGGGCCAACCCAGGUCCUCUCUGAGAGUUCAGGGCCUUCAUGGGGAGGCCCCACCCAGAUCCAAGGGGUCCAGGAAGAAUGGAGCAAAUGAAGGUGUCUUUGAGGGUUAGGGAUACUGGGGUUACUUUCAAAGUUGUUGCAGGAAGAUACCCAGGGCAAAAAUGAGCAUUUUAAGAAGAGAGUAUUUAUUACAAGCAUGGUAAAAAAAAGAAGCCCUAACUCGGACUCUGAAGGAUCCUCCUUGUAAAAAUCUUGAAGCCUGAUUUUGAAGAGCCUGGUAAUCACUACAGCACCAGCAACUGGGAGGGUGAGAACUUGCCUGAAGUCCUGUCCCUGGAUUUUCCUCAUUGCAUCAACAAAAUGAGAUACCAGAAGCUCUGAGAACAUGUUACUUCAGAGGUUGAAAUUACAGACUCGUAGCAGCCAAAACAGCUAUUUGCAGUAAUAACUAUUCUAGCACAGAGCCAAGCUGUCUGGAGCUACUGUCUGGAAGAGCCUCUUCCCCAUCCCAGCAAGUGUACCCAGCAAUCAGGUGCCAUUGUGGGACCCAGGGCUGCCUGGAUAAACAUUUAUAAGAUCCAGAGGGAUCAUUAGCAAGGAGCAGAGGAUGUCUCUGUUUGAAUCUCCAACAGUCACUGUAAAUCCAAAACUGAGCUCAGUCAUUGCCCUUUAACUCAGAAAUUCACAUGAUGCAAUUGGGUGGAAAGAGGACAACUUAGAUCAGAUGUUCUCAACCUUGAAUUAUGGAGGAUCUCUUACUAAUCCAGAUGCCCAGGCUACACUCCAGAGGGUUAACUCAAAAACUCUGAGGGAGAGGUCCAGGCAUCUUUAUUUUAAUUUUAAAAAAUGGG